CCCUUAGAUGUUCUGGGCCGCACGCGCGCUACACUGAUGCAUUCAACGAGUCUAAAACCUGCUCUGAUAGGGGUGGGUAAUCUUUUGAAUGUGCAUCGUGAUUGGGAUAGAUGAUUGCAAUUUUUCAUCUUCAACGAGGAAUGCCUAGUAAACGCAAGUCAUCAGCUUGCAUUGAUUACGUCCCUGCCCUUUGUACACACCGCCCGUCGCUCCUACCGAUUGAAUGAUCCGAUGAAUAUCAUGGAUUGAGGAUUAUAGCAGGUUCGCCUGUCUUGAUCUUCGAGAAGUGAAGUAAAUCUUAUCAUUUAGAGGAAGGAGAAGUCGUGACA
Molecule: ribosomal RNA, 329 nt
Filed under: uncultured eukaryote
Lineage: Eukaryota
Description: partial 18S ribosomal RNA
Rfam family: Eukaryotic small subunit ribosomal RNA
Source: RNAcentral